This 72-nucleotide transfer RNA is filed under the name Camelus ferus (Wild Bactrian camel). It matches the Rfam family "tRNA". From Rfam's summary of the family: Transfer RNA (tRNA) molecules are approximately 80 nucleotides in length. Their secondary structure includes four short double-helical elements and three loops (D, anti-codon, and T loops). Lineage: Eukaryota; Metazoa; Chordata; Mammalia; Artiodactyla; Camelidae. The record is from Rfam by way of RNAcentral.
GUGAGUAUAGCUCAGUGGUAGAGUGCAUGCUUAGCAUGUGCAAAGUUCUGGGUUCAAGGCCCAGUACCUCCA